Molecule: ribosomal RNA, 460 nt
Filed under: uncultured bacterium
Lineage: Bacteria
Description: bacterial SSU rRNA
Rfam family: Bacterial small subunit ribosomal RNA
Source: RNAcentral
UCACUGACGAGUUUGAUCAUGGCUCAGAACGAACGCUGGCGGCAGGCCUAACACAUGCAAGUCGAGCGAACCCUUCGGGGUUAGCGGCGGACGGGUUAGUAACGCGUGGGAAUAUACCCUUUGGUACGGAAUAGCCUCGGGAAACUGAGAGUAAUACCGUAUGUGCCCUUCGGGGGAAAGAUUUAUCGCCAAAGGAUUAGCCCGCGUUGGAUUAGAUAGUUGGUGGGGUAAUGGCCUACCAAGUCUACGAUCCAUAGCUGGUUUGAGAGGAUGAUCAGCAACACUGGGACUGAGACACGGCCCAGACUCCUACGGGAGGCAGCAGUGGGGAAUCUUAGACAAUGGGCGCAAGCCUGAUCUAGCCAUGCCGCGUGGACGAUGAAGGCCUUAGGGUUGUAAAGUCCUUUCAGAUGGGAAGAUAAUGACGGUACCAUCAGAAGAAGCCCCGGCUAACUCCGUG